GAUCUGGGCCUGGAGGGGAGAUCUGGACCUGGAGGUUGAGUUAUGGGCCUGGAGUGGAGAUAUGAUCCUGGAGUGGAGAUCUGGGCCUGGAGGGGAGAUCUGGACCUGGAGGGUUCUUCUUGGUCCAGAGGGCCUGUCCACACACGGGUGGUCAGGACAAGACCUUCUUGUUUGCCCGGCCUAGCGCUGUGGUGCCUCAGGGAGGACACGUGACUCUUCGGUGUUACUAUCGUGAUGGACUUAACAACUUUACCAACUUCACUCUGUACAAAGACAACAGAAGCCACGUUCCCGUCUUCCACAGCCGAAUAUUCCAGGAGAGCUUCCUCAUGGGCCCUGCGACCCCGGCACACGCAGGGACCUACAGAUGUCGGGGUUCAUACCCGCACUCCCCCACUGAGUGGUCGGCGCUCAGUGACCCCCUGGCGAUCAGGGUCACAGGAGUCCACAGAAAACCUUCCCUCCUGGCCCUCCCAGGUCCCCUGGUGAAAUCAGGAGAGACGGUCACCCUACAAUGUUCUUCAGAUAUGGUGUUUGAGCACUUCUUUCUGCACAGUGAGGGACCUACAGAUGCUACGGUUCUGUCACUCACUCCGACUAUGUGUUGUCAGCUCCCAGUGACCCCCUGGACAUCGUGAUCACAGUGCCAAGCGUCAAUGGAACAUUCCAGGCCAACUUCCCUCUGGGCCCUGCCACCCACGGAGGAACCUACAGAUGCUUCGGUUCUUUCCGUACCACACCCUACCAGUGGUCAGACCCGAGUGACCCACUGCCCGUUUCUGUCACAGGAAACCCCUCACGUAGUUGGCCUUCACCCACUGAACCAAGCUCCAAAACCAACACUCCAACAGCAAAAGGGAUCUUGGCCCAGCACAGGGCUCCGUGAAGUCUCUUCAUCUCUAAUUUUCUGUAGCUGAGACCUCCUACAAGCUGGAAGAAUGACUGCAAAUCUGACAUCCUUCUCAGGAAAAAUGCAGUGUUCUCCCUGCAUUCCUAACUGGAGGAUAAAUUCCUGGGGGCUUGAAAGAGGGAAGGGAAGGGAACAUCUAAUGAGGGUGAGGUGUUUUAGAGAAGUUCCACUUGCCAAGGAAUGAACUCCUGUGGGUCAUGAGGCAACCCUGGCUGACUCAGCAGAGCCAGAGCCUUGCAGUAAAGAGCCUUGCACGCACACUCCGACUCACUGACUCAUUCAGCCAUGGCCCCAUGCUCAGGCUGUGCAGUUAGAAUCCUUUUCUAUUGUUGCCAUAACAAAUUUCCACAAAAUUGGUGGAUGAAAACAAAACGGCUUUUUAAUUAUCUUACAGUGCUGUAGCUCAAAGGAUGAAAUGCACCUCACUGGGCUAAAAUCAAGGUGACAGCAAGGCUGCCUUCCCUCCGAAGGUUCCAGGCGAGAAUCUGCUCUUCAUAUAUCCCAGUUUCUAGAGGCUCCCACGUUCCUUGGCUCCUGGUCCCCUUCCUCCUUCCUCAAAACAGAGCAGGAGAAAGCUGGGUCUCCCGCCAUCAGGCCGCUUGUCCUAAGGAGACAUUCCACAUGGUUACCUGUCAAUCAAGAAACGAGAGACAAUCCAUAAGAAGGAACUGCUAUGAUUAGCUUCUUAUUGGAGUCUCUUCUUCCUCCAGGUAACCCCAGACACCUGCAUGUUCUGAUUGGGACCUCAGUGGUCAUGAUCCUCUUCACCAUCUUCUUCUUUCUCCUGCAUCGCUGGUGCUCCAACAAAAAGAAUGCUGCUGCAAUGGACCAAGAGCCUGCGGGGGACAGAACAGUGAACAGGGAGGACCCUGAUGAACAAGACCCUCAGGAGGUGACAUACGCACAGUUGGAUCACUGCGUUCUCACACAGGGAAAAAUCACUUGCCCUUCUCAGAGGCCCAGGAGACCCCCAACAGAUACCAGCGUGUACAUAGAACUUCCAAAUGCUGAGCCCAGAUCGAAAGUUGUCUUCUAUCCAUGAGCGCCACCGUCAGGCCUUGAAGGAGUCUUCUAGGGACACAACAGCCCUGUCUCAAAACCGGCUUCACAGCUCCAAUGUACCAGCCGCAGGAAUCUGAAGCUGUGAGUCUGCAUCUUAGGACAUCGCUCUUCUUCACACCACGAAUCUGAACAUGCCUCUCUCUUGCUUACCAAUAUCUGUGGUUCCCACUGCCUGCUGCAGAGAAAACACACUCCUUUGCUUAGCCCACAAUUCUCCAAUUCACUUGACCCCUGCCCACCUCUCCAACCUACUGACUUACUUCCUAGUCCUACUGGAGGCUGUGAUCACACUGAGGAACUCACAAUUCCAAUCAUACAAGAGGCUCCUUCUUAACACGGCACUUAGACGCAUGCUGUUCCACCUUCCCUCAUGCUGUUCCACCUUCCCUCAUGCUGUUCCACCUUCCCUCAUGCUGUUCCACCUUCCCUCAUGCUGUUCCACCUCCCCUCAUGCUGUUCCACCUCCCCUCAGACUCUCUUUCAGCCCUUGUCAGCAGUGAAACUUAUAAAUUUUUCUAUCAUUUCAAUGUAGCUCUCUCCUCUUCAAAUAAACACAUCUGUCCUCAU
Macaca fascicularis (crab-eating macaque) is the source of this 2539-nucleotide long non-coding RNA. The record is from Ensembl. NCBI's taxonomy places the organism in Eukaryota, Metazoa, Chordata, Mammalia, Primates, Cercopithecidae.